RNAcentral lists this ribosomal RNA (424 nucleotides) under Verrucomicrobiota bacterium. Its description in RNAcentral is "Verrucomicrobia bacterium partial 16S ribosomal RNA". It matches the Rfam family "Bacterial small subunit ribosomal RNA", at positions 355 to 776 of the family's 1533-position model. The record is from RNAcentral. Lineage: Bacteria; Pseudomonadati; Verrucomicrobiota.
UGAGGAAUAUUGGUCAAUGGGCGAGAGCCUGAACCAGCCAAGUAGCGUGCAGGAUGACGGCCCUAUGGGUUGUAAACUGCUUUUAUGCGGGGAUAAAGUGCGUGACGUGUCGUGCAUUGCAGGUACCGCAUGAAUAAGGACCGGCUAAUUCCGUGCCAGCAGCCGCGGUAAUACGGAAGGUCCGGGCGUUAUCCGGAUUUAUUGGGUUUAAAGGGAGCGUAGGCUGUUUGUUAAGCGUGUUGUGAAAUGUAAGAGCUCAACUUUUAGAUUGCAGCGCGAACUGGCAGACUUGAGUGCGCACAACGUAGGCGGAAUUCAUGGUGUAGCGGUGAAAUGCUUAGAUAUCAUGACGAACUCCGAUUGCGAAGGCAGCUUACGGGAGCGCAACUGACGCUAAAGCUCGAAGGUGCGGGUAUCGAACAGG